GACGAACGCUGGCGGCGUGCUUAACACAUGCAAGUCGAACGGAAAGGCCCUGCUUUUGUGGGGUGCUCGAGUGGCGAACGGGUGAGUAACACGUGAGUAACCUGCCCUUGACUUUGGGAUAACUUCAGGAAACUGGGGCUAAUACCGGAUAGGAGCUCCUGCUGCAUGGUGGGGGGUGGAAAGUUUCGGCGGUUGGGGAUGGACUAGCGGCUGAUCAGCUUGUUGGUGGGGGAGUGGCUUACCAAGGCAUUGACGGGUAGCCGGCAUGAGAGGGUGACCGGCCACAAUGGGACUGAGAUACGGCCCAGACUCCUACGGGAGGCAGUAGUGGGGAAUAUUGUCCAACGGGCGGAAGCCUGUGGCAGAAACGCCGCGGGCGGGAUGACGGCCUUCGGGUUGUAAACCGCUUCCGCCUGUUACGAAGCGGUAGUGACGGUAAUGGGUAAAGAAGCACCGGCUAACUACGUG
This 468-nucleotide ribosomal RNA is filed under the name uncultured bacterium. Its description in RNAcentral is "partial 16S ribosomal RNA". It matches the Rfam family "Bacterial small subunit ribosomal RNA", at positions 28 to 507 of the family's 1533-position model. The record is from RNAcentral.